CGCGGCGCUCUGAUUGGGUGGAGGGAGUGGCGUGAUGGGAGGGGGCGGGGAUAAGCGCCACGGGCGGCCUCCGAGCGCUCACCGGCAGCGGGAGGCGGGCGCGACGGGGCGCCGCGUCCGCUGAGCCGCCUCAGCUGCCUCUGUCGCUUCGCCGCGGCGGAGCGUGGCCGUGCGGCUGGGGCAGCGCGGCGGACCUCGGGGGUCCCUUCUGCUGUGCUGGUAGCGCCGGGCCGGGCCCGGUCGUCUGGGGUGACAGCAUCACUGUGCUUGGGAGCAGGCUGAGCCUCAGUCCCCGGGCUGGGUCGCUCGUGUUCUCAUGUGUGGCCGGUUACUGUCUCUUUGUACAGGCUUUCUUACCACGGCUGUAUGAAGGUUUACACGGGGUUGCAGCUUCACGGUUAGAGAAACUUCUUUGUCUUGAAGUGGGGAAUGACAAGCUUUUAUUGGAAGAUGAUGAUUUUUGAAUAAGACCUUGUCUGCAGAAAAGUGUCGUUUUUCCGUGGGCUAGAUGUGUUUUAAUGGAAGGCUGCCUGGUCUCUUGAAAGCUGCUCUGGCAGCUCAAACAAUUAGUCACGUCUGUAUGAUGUUGAAGAGUGCUAUGAAUGAUUGAUUGAUAAUUGAUCUCUUCCGAGACCAGUGCUUAAUUUGGUCAUGAAUAUUGUGUUUUCCAUCACUUUCUUCUGACUGAUCAAUUUUCCUGAGUUGGUUAUUGUCUUCAGCGUUACCAGGACACUGGACAUGAACUUACUUGAGCCUGCCCACUGGUGCAAGACAUCGCAUUAAUUUCAAGCAGAGGAAGGAGAGGACCUUGCGAGCUGUCCCUGCGAACUGAGGCCUAGUGAGAGACUGAAUCCAGCUCCGAUUGGCUGCAGAAUGCAAUCCAGGACCUUGGUUGCUGGCUCUGCAGUUGCUGAGACUUUCAAGAUUGGUUUUGUAUAUUUUGUAUUAUUUUCUCUCUUCUUAUUAGUAGCAUUAGUAAAACAUUUUUAAUUUUUCCAACUCUCCUCUCUCUGUCCUUCUUUCCCUCCCGAUCACCUGUCCUUAGUUGGAAGGGGGGAGAGGGAGGGGCAAAAGGGGGAAGUGGUGGGAGAGGAGGUUAACAAUACAUCUGCCAGGGUUUUAUUGUCACCCCACAAUCUAAACCCUCGACAAGCCACAAGAUGGCAGGAAAGCAAAAUAAAUAUUUUUUGCUGGAGCAGCUGCACUUGAAAGUGCCGUCUAAAACCAAAUACGGCAGAGAAUGGGGCUAAUUUUCCUUAUUAAAGUAUUGCUAAAGCCUUAUGAAGUUUUGAAAACUGUUAGAUAUUCCUUUAAGUAAUGUGUUUUGUUACUUGUGCUACACCAUAUUACUGUAUUUUUCUCUUAUGUGCUGUUUGUCGGUCAGGACAAAUACUGACUAUUCUUUUGCUAUAGGCAGAAAGUAGAAAAGCUAGCCCAAAUGGUUUCCUUUUUGGAUACCAUUGGAAUAUGGUGUGUAUGAAAAUGAAAUGCAGAAUGAAGUCUCCGCAUCUGGAAGAAAAACCAUGAUUUUCCUGAAUUAUUUUUAUUCUGUGGUUUAUAUAUUUUAUGGUAUUCCCCCUAACUCUUGCCUUGCAAAAAAUCUACCUUCACAUUAUUCUCAAAGCUGACUGCAAAACCAGUUAGGAGAUUCAAGUGCUGACUUCAUUCUUCUUGAUUUGAAGAAUAAAAGAUAGAGGUGUCUUCAAA
This is a long non-coding RNA of Columba livia (rock pigeon), 1707 nucleotides long. RefSeq lists it as uncharacterized. The record is from RefSeq and is a predicted model, not a curated record. The transcript has 4 exons. NCBI's taxonomy places the organism in Eukaryota, Metazoa, Chordata, Aves, Columbiformes, Columbidae.